AUCCCUAUGGCACAGUGGCAGUAUGCUUUACUCUUGUAGAUAGGGUAACUUAUACAUGUCCCAUACAGCAAGUUGUCCUAUAUAGUGUCAGAGAGGUUGGGGGUUCAAUUCCUCCUAGGGGCA
Non-coding RNA from Lasiosphaeria hispida, 123 nucleotides. Lineage: Eukaryota; Fungi; Ascomycota; Sordariomycetes; Sordariales; Lasiosphaeriaceae. The record is from the annotation of a GenBank genome assembly.